RNAcentral lists this unclassified non-coding RNA (169 nucleotides) under soil metagenome. Its description in RNAcentral is "partial internal transcribed spacer 1". The record is from RNAcentral.
CCGAGUUUACAACUCCCAAACCCCUUGUGAACCUUACCACUAUCGUUGCCUUCGGCGGAUCAGCCCGCUCCCGGCCUUCAAACCGCCGGAACCAGGCACCCGCCAGAGGUAUCCCUAAACUCUUGUUUUAUAUAGUAAUCUUCUGAGUGCUAAAGCAUAAAUGAAAUCA